GGUCCCAAGGUUAUGGCUGUGCGCCAUUUAAAGUGGUACGCGAGCUGGGUUUAGAACGUCGUGAGACAGUUCGGUCCCUAUCUGGUGUGGGCGUUGGAUGAUUGAUGGGAGCUGCUCCUAGUACGAGAGGACCGGAGUGGACGUAUCUCUGGUGUUCCGGUUGUCACGCCAGUGGCACUGCCGGGUAGCUAUAUACGGACAGGAUAACCGCUGAAAGCAUCUAAGCGGGAAGCCUCCCUCAAGAUGAGAUCUCCCUGGGGGCUUACCCCCCUAAAGGGCCGUUGAA
RNAcentral lists this ribosomal RNA (286 nucleotides) under Alexandrium margalefii. RNAcentral's name for it is "partial Bacterial large subunit ribosomal RNA". It matches the Rfam family "Bacterial large subunit ribosomal RNA", at positions 2561 to 2842 of the family's 2925-position model. Lineage: Eukaryota; Dinophyceae; Gonyaulacales; Pyrocystaceae. The record is from RNAcentral.